UGGGGAAUAUUGGACAAUGGGCGAAAGCCUGAUCCAGCCAUGCCGCGUGUGUGAAGAAGGUCUUCGGAUUGUAAAGCACUUUAAGUUGGGAGGAAGGGCAUUAACCUAAUACGUUAGUGUUUUGACGUUACCGACAGAAUAAGCACCGGCUAACUCUGUGCCAGCAGCCGCGGUAAUACAGAGGGUGCAAGCGUUAAUCGGAAUUACUGGGCGUAAAGCGCGCGUAGGUGGUUUGUUAAGUUGGAUGUGAAAUCCCCGGGCUCAACCUGGGAACUGCAUUCAAAACUGACUGACUAGAGUAUGGUAGAGGGUGGUGGAAUUUCCUGUGUAGCGGUGAAAUGCGUAGAUAUAGGAAGGAAC
Molecule: ribosomal RNA, 360 nt
Filed under: uncultured bacterium
Lineage: Bacteria
Description: partial 16S ribosomal RNA
Rfam family: Bacterial small subunit ribosomal RNA
Source: RNAcentral